AAAGCUACAAUCCCACAUAUUACCAAUGAAGUUCAGAAACCCUCCAGUCCUGCUUUUCAUUCUCUCCGUCCUUUCACUCUCGAUACCAUGGACGACUGCAGGAACAGUUUCCAUUGAUGGCUUUCUCCAAUGCCUCACAAAAUAUCCUCACCCUGCCCACACAAUCCAAGAAUCAAUUUACACCCCUCAAAAUAGCUCAUUUCAAUCUGUUUUGGUAGCACAUAUCAAUAACCGCAGAUAUUCUACAGCUGCAACUCCAAAACCUUUGGCCAUAAUAGCAGCCAAGAAUGAGUCCCACGUCCAGGCAACUGUGCUUUGUGCCAAACAUCAUGGGUUGCAAAUUAAAAUCCGAAGUGGUGGCCAUGAUUUCGAGGGUUUAUCUUACACGUCGGAUGUGCCCUUUGUCAUUCUCGACAUGUUUAACAUUAACUCCAUUGAUGUUAAUGUUGCUGAUAAGAGCGCUUGGGUUCACUCUGGAGCUACUCUUGGAGAAGUUUAUUAUGCAAUUGGUACAAAAACCAACGUUUACGGCUUUCCUGCUGGGAUUUGUCCAACAGUUGGUGCUGGUGGCCAUUUUAGUGGCGGCGGCUAUGGGUUUUUGAUGAGAAAGUAUGGGCUUAGCGUCGAUAAUAUCGUGGAUGCUAGGCUAGUUACUGCCAAUGGUAGAAUCCUUGAUAGAAAGUCAAUGGGAGAGGACCUUUUCUGGGCCAUCAGAGGAGGUGGUGGAGCUAGCUUCGGAGUUAUUCUUUCAUGGAAGCUCAAGCUGGUUCCAGUUCCACCCAAAGUGACUGUGUUCAACCUUACAAAGACCAUAGAGGAAGGUGUUACAGAUUUGGUUUACAAGUGGCAAACUCUUGCACCCCAGCUUCCCAAAGAUGUCUUCCUCAGAGCACAGCCACAAGUGAAGAAUAUUGAUACCAAGGGAAACAAGACUGUGGGUGUAUCAUUCAUCGGCCAUUUCUUGGGAACAAGUGACAAGGUUGUGGCAUUGUUGAAUGAGAGUUUCCCUGAACUGGGCUUACAACGAAAAGACUGCUAUGAAGUGAGCUGGGUGGAAUCCACUGUAUUUUGGGCUGAAAGUCCUAUUGGAACCCCCAUAGAAAUUCUUCUCAGCAAGCCAACUGAACCAGAGACCUUCUACAAAGGUAAGUCAGACUAUGUGAAGGAACCAAUUCCAAAACAUGUUUUUGAUUCCAUAUGGAAGAAGAUGAUUGAGAUAGAGCACAUUUGGCUGGAUUGGAACCCUUAUGGUGGAAGAAUGAGUGAGAUUUCUGAGUCAGCAACUCCAUACCCUCACAGGGCCGGAAACCUAUUUUUUGCUCUAUACUAUUCGUCGUGGUAUGACGAAGGGAUUGAGGCCACCAACAAGUACGUUAGUUUAACAAGAGAGUUGUAUGACAUGAUGACACCAUAUGUCUCCAAGAGUCCAAGAGAGGCGUUCCAAAACUACAGGGACCUCGACAUAGGUGCGAACCAGGAUAAUAAGACUGACUUUGAAACUGCUACACUUUAUGGAAGGAAGUACUUCAAAGGUAAUUUUGAUAGAUUGGUGCGUGUGAAAACCAUGGUCGAUCCUCUUAAUUUUUUCAAGCAUAAGCAAAGUAUCCCCCCUCUUUAGAGAGAGAUGUAUACUAUGUAUAUGUGAUGUUCAAAAAGAAUAAAUUCCACCUCUGAGAGAGAGAGAGAGAGAGAGAGAGAGAGAGGGAGAGAGAUAUAGAAUAAGUGGAAGGGAGAGAGAUAUAGAAUAAGUGGAAGAAGGUUAACAUAAAUCAUCUUAUGAGCUGUUUGUCAUGCUUGAUGAUGUUAUUGAUGUUACCAAAAUAUUGAUUUUAUUUGUUGUAAAAUAAAGCUUGCAGUCUACAAUGACGAUCUCUUGUAAGUUGUAACCUCUACUAUAUAUGUGUUCUUUGUAAACCCUAAUAUAAUCAACAAGUCCUUCACAUAGAUACAAAUGACUCCUUUUGGUACAAUUUUUUUUUUUCGAAACCUCCUUUUGGUACAUUAACUCAUAAAGGGAUUGAGCUUUACGAAAGUUUUCAAAUCAUGUUCACACAAUGAACCUUAUCUACAAAAGAAAUCAAUUGUAGGCUGGCACACCCUCAAACUCUCUCCCUGUACGUCUAAGAAAUGAAGAAAUUAUGGACCACUUUUUCUACACCUCUCUAUCUAAUGUUCAUGAAUCAUCUGUUGGGAUUUCUUAUUCUUCAUUUCUUCUUUUCCUUUUCAUUCCUAAGCACAAAUUCAAGCUUUGAUUAUUUUUUUGCUUCACAAAGGCCGUGUAUGGUUGUGGGGAGACCAUUAUUAUGUAUAGGUUAGGUGCCUGUUGAUGAAUUAAAUGGGUACAAAAAUAAAAAAAAAUAAAAGCAAAGCAGCAAUCCACCCGCACAAAGCAUAUUAUAUAUAAUCAAAUUAAACGAGUAUAGAUGCAUAUUAAAAACAGCAUAUUACUAAGUUCUUUCAUUUAUUGUCAGUGAGGUAUAACUCAGUUGGUUGAGCUCUUCUGUCUUCAUAUAUGUAGGCAGAGCUUUGAAACCUCCAAACACCCAAUAAAUAUUUAUGUAAACACACCUUCCCCAAUCGCUUGUACUCAAAAGAAAAAUAAACUUUCAUUUAUCGAAGCUAGAAUGUAGGAAAAAUAAAUUAUCGAAGGCACUGUGAUUGAAAGAAUUGAAAGCUAAUAUUUAAAAACUAAAAAGAAACUAUUUAUUCUGGAAAUAGCAGUGUGCCUAAUAACUUUCAAUAUUCAUACCUAAUUUUUUGAAAGAUAUCUAAAAGUCAACAAACUAAAACUUAAAAUUGUUUUCUUCCUCAACAGUUUCACCAACCCUGUUAGUUUGUGACUUUGAUGUAAUGUUGAAUAUUAUUUUUAGGAUACUACGUACAUAUUUAGAAAUUAGAAUGGUGGAUACAAUAUUGGCUUAUUAUGUGUUUUAAAUUGUUAUAAGAUUGUUAGGUUGAUUGGCUUCAUAAGAUUAUUAUGUGCGUUGAUGUAAUAAUAAGAAAUAUUUGACGUGUUUGUUUCAAUUUGAAUUAUAAUUGAUGUGUUUCAUUUCACAUGAUGGUUAGAUGUGAAAAGUGUGUAAAUGAAAGUUAUAGAAAAAAUAAAAUACUAAAUGGGCCGAAUCACUAAAUACCUAUAUAUAAAAUGUAUGCACACAAUCUUCUCAAAUAAUAUAUUUGAGGGACAUUCUUUGGAGCCCACUAUGAAUUUUAUUUCAAUGAUCCACAUUAUCUUAUUUUCAAGUCUUCACUCAUAGAUUAUCUUUACAAAAAAUUAGGUAAAUUGGAAACCGUUAAGACGUCUAGUUAUGACCACCAAAAUCAAAGAACAAUGGUGCUUCAAAAAAACACUAAAAUAAAAAUCAUUCAAUUGAGUGGUCAAAUGAAUUCAGAUUCAAGUGCUUUUUUGUAGAGAUGAUCUUUGAAUGAGUAUCUACAAAAUAGAAGGUUCGAAUUAGUGAAAUGCAAUCCGAAGUAGUCCCUACAAGGGGUGUCCCUCAAUGGAAGCUCUUUGUGUGUGUAUAUAUAUAUAUAUAUAGUCCAUUCCAUUGAGGAAAACCCUUUAGGGUACCCUACGAAUAUUUUUUCAACGAUCCAAGCUAUUUUUCAAGUCUUCAUUCAUAAAUAAUCCUUGCAAAAAAUCAGAAAAAUUGAAAAUCAUUAAGGCAUCUAAUUGAGACCAACAAAAUCAAUGAACACGGUGCUUUAAUAAUUUAAUUGAAUGGUCAAAUGAUAUCGGAUUUAAGCAUUUUUUAUAAAGAUGAUCUUUGGAUUAAUAUCUACAAACUAGAUGGUUUGGAUUAGUGAAAUACAAUGCAUAGUGGGCCUUACACGGGUGUUCUUCAAAUAAGCUUAUUUGAGGAAUCCCUCAAUGAAAGCUCUCUUUGUAUAUAAAUAUUAUUGAUCUUAGGCUUAAAUCACCAAAUACAUUGAACCAAACAAACAACCCAACAGUUUGUUUAAUUUCAUUAAGCUUCUCCUCCCAAUUUAGGUCAAACCAUAGCCUUCACUGAUUGAUUAAUUUGAAAGAGGUUUUGAAGGCAAAGCGAUCCAAACAUGAUCGGGUCCACCCAUAUAUAACGUGAUCCCAUUCCAUUUAAUUAAAAUCAACUAUAUGAGAGCAAUGUAUCAAUAAAAUCCCUACAUAUAAAAUCAUUGAUACCACAUGGCCAACAUCAAUAAAAUCCCUACGUCCUUCAUGCACACUCCUUUAUUUCCGUCAGUUUUUCUAAAUAAUAAACCAGGCUUUCCAUAUGGUGAGUUUAAUAAUAGACCAGGUUUUCCACAAUCCCAUCUAUGUUUAUGGAGUUUUGGAUCAAAUUUGUGACAGUCCGUCGAGUGCAGAACACCCAAUAUUAUAGAUUUUGAGAGAGCGCUUCGCAAUCUGGGCGUGCUCCUGCUAUAUAAUGUUGUGAACUUUUCCAAUAUUAUAGAUUUAUUGUAGAUCUUUUUAUAUAUUAGAAAUGUCCAUCUUUUUGACAAAUUAAUGCCAUAAGCAAAAGGGUCAUGUAUAGCAAGCUGUCUGGGUAGAAACUUGAAACUUUAGAAUAACUCAUCAUAUGGAAAGCCUGGUCAUAUGCAAUGCAAUACUCGAAGCAGCAAAGUUGAUAUUAAUAAAUUGCAAGGGGAUUGCGUACGUAAGAAAACAAAGAAAAAGUCCAAACUUGGAUGCUCUGGCUUCAUUAUAAAUACUGCCCCAAGUCAGUUAUCUUAUCACACAGCCAAAACUCAAGGCAAGAAAGCCAUAAGCCUCACAAGUUACGUACCAAUGAAGUUCCGAAACCCUAAUGUACUUCUUUUCAUUCUCUCAGUCCUUUCAAUCUCAGUAUCAUGGGCAACUUCAGCAACAGCUGACUUUCAUGGCUUUCUCCAAUGCCUUACCAAACGUUCUCACUCUGCUCACCCAAUCCAGGAAACAAUUUACACCCCUCAAAAUGCCUCCUUUCAAUCUGUUUUGGUAUUACAUAUCAACAACCGCAGAUUUUCUACACCAACAACUCCAAAACCUUUGGCCAUAAUAGCAGCCAAGAAUG
Molecule: long non-coding RNA, 5033 nt
Filed under: Prunus persica (peach)
Lineage: Eukaryota; Viridiplantae; Streptophyta; Magnoliopsida; Rosales; Rosaceae
Description: long non-coding RNA (PPER_LNC004031)
Source: RNAcentral